GUCAGGGUAGCUCAGUUGGUUAGAGCGAAGGAAUCAUAACCCUUAGGUCGUGGGUUCAACUCCCACCCCUGACA
Molecule: transfer RNA, 74 nt
Filed under: Candidatus Liptonbacteria bacterium CG11_big_fil_rev_8_21_14_0_20_35_14
Lineage: Bacteria; Candidatus Liptoniibacteriota
Description: tRNA-Met
Rfam family: tRNA
About the family: Transfer RNA (tRNA) molecules are approximately 80 nucleotides in length.
Source: RNAcentral